Molecule: long non-coding RNA, 320 nt
Organism: Selaginella moellendorffii
Lineage: Eukaryota; Viridiplantae; Streptophyta; Lycopodiopsida; Selaginellales; Selaginellaceae
Exons: 2
Source: RefSeq, a predicted model, not a curated record
GAUAUGUUUUUUUGCUUUAACCGAGUAUUGAAGCUGGCAAGAGAAGCCUGAGUUGCAAGAACAGGAGUUUUGGAAGAAGAAGUUGACAUCCUGAAUGAUCCAAGGUUUCUUACAGCAAGGAACACUGCUAGCCAUGUAAUUCGAAAAGCAGCACUAGAAACUACAAGGCCAACAAGUACAGGGUCAAAGCAUGUGUACUUGUCGAUGGCUGAGCUUAAGGCAAUUCUCACGUUGCCAGAGUUUCUACCUAACAGUCCUAAUGGACUGUUUUGGUUAGUUGUACUAUUCUGCAUGAAUUUCUUUCUUGUACGUGGGAGGAA